AUGCACGCUGGCGGCGUGCCUAAUACAUGCAAGUCGAGCGAACAGACGAGGAGCUUGCUCCUCUGACGUUAGCGGCGGACGGGUGAGUAACACGUGGAUAACCUACCUAUAAGACUGGGAUAACUUCGGGAAACCGGAGCUAAUACCGGAUAAUAUAUUGAACCGCAUGGUUCAAUAGUGAAAGACGGUUUUGCUGUCACUUAUAGAUGGAUCCGCGCCGCAUUAGCUAGUUGGUAAGGUAACGGCUUACCAAGGCAACGAUGCGUAGCCGACCUGAGAGGGUGAUCGGCCACACUGGAACUGAGACACGGCCCAGACUCCUACGGGAGGCAGCAGUAGGGAAUCUUCCGCAAUGGGCGAAAGCCUGACGGAGCAACGCCGCGUGAGUGAUGAAGGUCUUCGGAUCGUAAAACUCUGUUAUUAGGGAAGAACAAAUGUGUAAGUAACUAUGCACGUCUUGACGGUACCUAAUCAGAAAGCCACGGCUAACUACGUG
Molecule: ribosomal RNA, 496 nt
Filed under: uncultured bacterium
Lineage: Bacteria
Description: partial 16S ribosomal RNA
Rfam family: Bacterial small subunit ribosomal RNA
Source: RNAcentral